GAGAUUCCAGUGUUGUGUAUAGGGGUUCUCACUUAUCAAGCUUUGUUACACUAUUCUACUCGCUCUAUGCAAUUCCACUAGCUCUACUCUAUUAUGUAGUACUCGUUCACAAUGAACCAUUUUGUUGUAUGUUACGCUAUUCCACUUACCUUAUUGACUUGCAUGUAGCGGUACUUAAUGAGUGAGUAUACUACCAAAGAAUAGGAGCGAGCAUGCUUGUUGAAUAGUGAAUUUUGAUAAAAGUGUUGUGCUCUGUCUCUUUUUUCAGUUCAGUAAAUCAUAGGCAUAUGCAGAUCCUAUUCACACGAGUACUCACGCUGUUACACGAGGAUGAAGGACUAGUUUGAGUGUUUUCUUUUCUAGGGUCUUUCAUCUCGUUCCGAGUGUAAGUGAUUACUACACGAGUCUAG
RNAcentral lists this long non-coding RNA (410 nucleotides) under Amborella trichopoda. RNAcentral's name for it is "long non-coding RNA (ATRI_LNC001032)". Lineage: Eukaryota; Viridiplantae; Streptophyta; Magnoliopsida; Amborellales; Amborellaceae. The record is from RNAcentral.